GAUGAACGCUAGCGGCAGGCUUAACACAUGCAAGUCGAGGGGUAGUCUAGCAAUAGAUGAGACCGGCGCACGGGUGCGUAACGCGUAUGCAAUCUACCUUUUACAGAGGGAUAGCCCAGAGAAAUUUGGAUUAAUACCUCAUAGUAUAACGACUCGGCAUCGAGAUGUUAUUAAAGUUCCAACGGUAAAAGAUGAGCAUGCGUCCCAUUAGCUAGUUGGUGUGGUAACGGCACACCAAGGCAACGAUGGGUAGGGGUCCUGAGAGGGAGAUCCCCCACACUGGUACUGAGACACGGACCAGACUCCUACGGGAGGCAGCAGUGAGGAAUAUUGGUCAAUGGGCGCAAGCCUGAACCAGCCAUGCCGCGUGCAGGAUGACGGUCCUAUGGAUUGUAAACUGCUUUUGUACAGGAAGAAACACUCCCUCGUGAGGGAGCUUGACGGUACUGUAAGAAUAAGGAUCGGCUAACUCCGUGCCAGCAGCCGCGGUAAUACGGAGGAUCCAAGCGUUAUCCGGAAUCAUUGGGUUUAAAGGGUCCGUAGGCGGGUUUAUAAGUCAGUGGUGAAAGCCCAUCGCUCAACGAUGGAACGGCCAUUGAUACUGUAGAUCUUGAAUUAUUAGGAAGUAACUAGAAUAUGUAGUGUAGCGGUGAAAUGCUUAGAGAUUACAUGGAAUACCAAUUGCGAAGGCAGGUUACUACUAAUGGAUUGACGCUGAUGGACGAAAGCGUGGGUAGCGAACAGGAUUAGAUACCCUGGUAGUCCACGCCGUAACGAUGGAUACUAGCUGUUCGGAGCAAUCUGAGUGGCUAAGCGAAAGUGAUAAGUAUCCCACCUGGGGAGUACGUUCGCAAGAAUGAA
Molecule: ribosomal RNA, 861 nt
Filed under: uncultured bacterium
Lineage: Bacteria
Description: bacterial SSU rRNA
Rfam family: Bacterial small subunit ribosomal RNA
Source: RNAcentral